Long non-coding RNA from Neoarius graeffei (lesser salmon catfish), 2190 nucleotides. RefSeq lists it as uncharacterized. The record is from RefSeq and is a predicted model, not a curated record. The transcript is spliced from 2 exons. Lineage: Eukaryota; Metazoa; Chordata; Actinopteri; Siluriformes; Ariidae.
UCCGCUUCCCUACUUUCCCGGUUUGGUUUGUUUUCACGACCGCCAUUUUUAAAAACACGAGCGAAGAUGGAGCAGCACGAAGAGCAGUUGAUCAAGGAACUGAUCCAAAAGGCCAAAAAUUGAUGGAAAAUCAAGACGAUCAGCCGAUUUUCACGGAAUCUGCCAAGACCAAUCCAGAAGAUCUCGAAGAGGGGCAUGACGUCACACGUGUAACAAAGAACCAGGUAUCAAUUUCAUCCCUGUGCGCAGCAGUGGUUAGACCAGUCUCGAUAUGGAAUCACAUUUGAGAGAAUUCUGAUAGCGAUUGGGAUUCUUAUAUGUCGGAUGAAGGAGCAGAAGAUUAUAUCCAGAGUUAUCUGGAAUAUCCUUGAUAAUCUUCUUUUGGUCAUCUUUUCAAGCCCCCAAGACGAGAAACUGCCAGUUCACUCAGUCCCACUCACUACCGAUAGCAUACCACCAGCCGGAAAGAAUUAGAAAACAGAUUGGUUUGUGGAUUUUUAUUCUAAGCUGGCCAAUGUAAAAUAUAGGGAAAAUUUUUACAUGUACCUCAAUAAACGCAGAAAUAUAAUCUUUAAAACAUACACUUAUUCAGUAUAAUUACUGAAAGAAAAUAUGAAGUGGGUGAUAAUAGGAGAACUGACGAACUGUCCAAACGUCAGAUCAAAUGCCAUUUAUAAAAUAAAUGGGUUUCAUUUUGUUCCAGUAAUUCCCAUGUGGUCGUUCUGGUGGUGGUGGUGAACACUUGAUGAAUCAGGUUUAUUAUUAGUAGGCAACAUGAAAUCUGCCCGCUUUGUUUGCACAAAGCUCACCCACUGUCGUUUUAGAUUCGUGUCAUUUCUCAGAAAUUCGUGAACUGAAUGUCCUGUUGUGUAUGAAUUUGAACAUUCAAAUUCAUGCAGCGCUUUCCCAUUGUUAUUUUUGUAAGAUUCCAACAAUAACAUCUAAUUUCAGUGAGUAAACAAGUAUGGAGUCAGAUGAACAGAAAUGACCCAGAUAACCGGGUUCCACGCGUGACGUUAUGCGAGAUUAGCCCUGAGGCAAGGCUGCCUUUUUCCGGGAUCCGGACACUGCGAUUUACAGAGAAUCAGAUUGUUUUGCAGGUCAAGGGGCCCACAGGGCCCCUCCUGGGAAAAAACAGGGGCCCAUUUCUACAAUGGGGGGCCCAGUUAUUAUCCUUCAGUUGAAGCGAACCUAGUGAGCGAAGCGAGCCCAAUGAACAGCUGCGGCAGCCCAGGGGCUGUUUUUUUCUUCUCAAUUCUGUUUUUUUUUGGGAUUAGAAGCCAUACGAAGCAAUGUAGAUGACAAAAAUCAGUGCUUCAACCAAAUAUAUUGAGAUAUUGUUUAAUCAGUGGCAAUAUUUUGGAAUUCAACCACAGGCCACUAUAUAUCACAUCUAUAUUAUCUCCUCCUUGUACAUUAUAGCACAAGAAUGGGUUUGUUUUUUGCAUGCUGUGACGGUCUAAUUCUGCUUGUCUCUAAUCAUCUCUACUUCUAAUUUCAGAGAAUCAGAUGGGAUGCUGAUUCUUCAAUCUUGGGUUCAAAUUCAGGCUAUGAAGUUUGAAAAUUAACAAUGUCUGAUACUAAUGAUACAACAGUUGAUUAAAUCAUCAAAAUCAGGAUGUGUGUAAAUCUAGUAUGACUAAUUACCUUGGGUAUCAGUUUUUUCAGGUUCUUUCUGCCGAAGAAUGACAAAAUAGAUGUAUUUUUCUUUUUUUUCUUAUCCAUGUUUUCUUGUCUCUUUCGAAUAUUCGUACAUAGACCGUAAGACGCCACCUAGCGAAAGACUUGGAUCAGGUUUUACUCAUUUGGGACGCUACAAACGGGGCGGCGUAAAUACACGAACGGGUCCAACGUAUAGUCAAGAUGGCGGCGGUCAAAACAAAUUCAUCCGAUGCUGAAAUCUGUUGAAUAUCCAGAUGUGGUAGCGGGGGCGUGAUCAAGCACCGGUCUGUGACAGGAGGGCGGAGUCAGGGAAGGUAAGUGGCAGAAUCACUACACCUGACUCCAAUUAACCUGUGUUUGUGUGUCUUCCCAGUGACCGCGCCCUAUUUAGGCAGGGAGAGCAGAGAGCAGAGGAGCUCAUCCCUGAACAAGACGCCAGUUGUGUGUGUGUGUGUAUAUAUAUAUGUCUGUUUGAGUGAAGUAUUGUUAAACUGAAAAGUCUAGCAAUAAACGCUAUUUUGAACCUGA